AUGUGUUCCAGUCUUUACCUGGGUAGUAGUAGUAGUAGUAGUAGUAGUAGUAGUGGUGGUGAGGUGUGUUCUAGUCUUUACCUGGGCAGUAGUAGUAGUGGUGAGGUGUGUUCUAGUCUUUACCUGGGUAGUAGUAGUGGUAGUAGUGGUGGUGAGGUGUGUUCUAGGCUUUACCUGGUGGUAGUAGUAGUAGUAGUAGUGGUGAGGUGUGUUCUAGGCUUUACCUGGGUAGUAGUAGUGGUAGUAGUGGUGGUGAGGUGUGUUCUAGUCUUUACCUGGGUAGUAGUAGUAGUAGUAGUGGUGAGGUGUGUUCUAGUCUUUACCUGGGUAGUAGUAGUAGUAGUAGUGGUGAGGUGUGUUCUAGUCUUUACCUGGGUAGUAGUAGUAGUAGUAGUGGUGAGGUGUGUUCUAGUCUUUACCUGGGUAGUAGUAGUAGUAAUAGUGAGGUGUGUUCUAGUCUUUACCUGGGUAUUAGUAGUAGUAGUGGUGGUGGUGAAGUGUGUUCUAGUCUUUACCUGGGCAGUAGUAGUAGUAGUAGUAGUAGUAGUGGUGGUGAGGUGUGUUCUAGUCUUUACCUGGGCAGUAGUAGUAGUAGUAGUAGUAGUAGUGGUGAGGUGUGUUCUAGUCUUUACCUGGGUUGUAGUAGUAGUAGUAGUAGUGGUAGUAGUAGUAGUAGUAGUAGUAGUGGUGAAGUGUGUUUUUAGUCUUUACCUGGGUAGUAGUAGUAGUAGUGGUGGUGGUGAAGUGUGUUCUAGUCUUUACCUGGGUAGUAGUAGUAGUAGUAGUAGUAGUAGUAGUAGUAGUAGUAGUGGUGAGGUGUAUUCUAGUCUUUACCUGGGUAGUAGUAGUGGUAGUAGCGGUGGUGAGGUGUGUUCUAGGCUUUACCUGGGUAGUAGUAGUAGUAGUAGUGGUGGUGAGGUGUGUUCUAGGCUUUACCUGGGUAGUAGUAGUGGUGGUGAGGUGUGUUCUAGUCUUUACCUGGGUAGUAGUAGUGGUGAGGUGUGUUCUAGUCUUUACCUGGGUAGUAGUAGUAGUAAUAGUGAGGUGUGUUCUAGUCUUUACCUGGGCAGUAGUAGUAGUAGUAGUAGUAGUAGUAGUAGUGGUGAGGUGUGUUCUAGUCUUUACCUGGGUAGUAGUAGUAGUAGUAGUAGUGGUGGUGAGGUGUGUUCUAGUCUUUACCUGGGUAGUAGUAGUAGUAGUAGUGGUGAGGUGUGUUCUAGUCUUUACCUGGGUAGUAGUAGUAGUAAUAGUGAGGUGUGUUCUAGUCUUUACCUGGGUAGUAGUAGUAGUAGUGGUGGUGGUGAAGUGUGUUCUAGUCUUUACCUGGGCAGUAGUAGUAGUAGUAGUAGUAGUAGUAGUGGUGGUGAGGUGUGUUCUAGUCUUUACCUGGGCAGUAGUAGUAGUAGUAGUAGUAGUAGUAGUGGUGAGGUGUGUUGUAGUCUUUACCUGGGUUGUAGUAGUAGUAGUAGUAGUAGUAGUAUAGUAGUAGUAGUAGUAGUAGUAGUAGUAGUAGUAGUAGUAGUGGUGGUGAGGUGUGUUCUAGUCUUUACCUGGGCAGUAGUAGUAGUGGUGAGGUGUGUUCUAGUCUUUACCUGGGUAGUAGUAGUGGUAGUAGUGGUGGUGAGGUGUGUUCUAGGCUUUACCUGGUGGUAG
Long non-coding RNA from Oncorhynchus mykiss (rainbow trout), 1653 nucleotides. The record is from Ensembl. NCBI's taxonomy places the organism in Eukaryota, Metazoa, Chordata, Actinopteri, Salmoniformes, Salmonidae.